Molecule: long non-coding RNA, 1583 nt
Filed under: Helianthus annuus (common sunflower)
Lineage: Eukaryota; Viridiplantae; Streptophyta; Magnoliopsida; Asterales; Asteraceae
Description: hypothetical non coding rna
Source: RNAcentral
UUUCUUUCUUCUUCUCUCUAUACGUUGGUGUUCUAACCAAUAAUCACCGAUGCGAUGUUCUGUCCGAUCGAUUCAUGAACCAACUAACGGAUGCCAAAGUAUUGUAUUUUGUGAGUUCGUUAAAACGGAUGCCAAAAUGCUGUCUAAACAAGACUAUACUUUGUGAAUUUCAUUAAGGUUCGAAUCUCGUGACUACCGUUAAGGUUUGAUUUGGGUAAUACACAAAUACGUAUUCCAUUCUGUUAAACUAUAUGUUUAACUAUCAGAAUACUCCCAAAUUUAUAAUCAAACAAGCUGUUAAAUCAUCAGAAGAUUCAGAACAAUAAAGUAUACGCUUAAUUAUCAGAAGGAGUAGAAUCAAGAAGCUUGUUAAAUCAAUACUGCAUGCUUAUAAAGUAAUUACAGUAGAUUGGAGUAAGGAUUGGAUCCGGCACUAAAAGACUUCAAGAAGUGGCUUAUUUUAUUAAUUAAAUCAAAUUAAGAAAUAUUGUUUUUAUUAAAAGCUACCUUUGUAACAAUGGAAUUUAUUCCAUCUAUUUAAAUAAAAUCUGGUGUUUCUAAACUCUGAUAUUUUUCCUAACUCACGGUCCUGAUGAAAUUUCCGCUGCAAUAUUUUUCAAAAUAACUCACCGGUACCACUGGACUGCUCGCGGCUCCCGAUUCCGUCUAGGGUGGGUCGGGAGUCGUGACAACAAGAUCUUGGCCUGAGUCUUGAAGAUUUGCAGGAUCUCCUUGAUCUUCCACUUAGCAGGGAUGAUGAUGAUACAUAUGCCUUAACUUUUGAAUUACAAUUUAAAGGGCAAAUAAGGGAACUGCAGAUGAGGCAAUAAAGAUCUACAAUAAUGAAGAGUUUUGGCAUUAACUGUUCCAGGGGGAGAUUGUUAGGAUUGAACCCUGCCAAAGGAACAGAUAAUUAAAGCCAAAACUAGAUCAGAGCAAUGGAUCCAGAAUAACCAGAUGUUUGGUUGCAAGUCUCUCCCCUUGAAAGUGGUUUCAACAUCUGCUGACCUCCUAUCUGCUAAUCAUGCAAACUGCUGACCUACAACUGCUGCUCAAGACAAAGACUGAUUGAAGAACUAAAGCUCUGCUGCUCAAUCUACUGCCUUGGUUCAAGCACUGCUGAUCAUGACAAGUACUGAUGGGUUCACAGCAGUGGAAGGAUGCAGCAGCAGUUUAUGUUUGUUUUAUGUAGUGAAAUGUAAUAUCAGUAGUUAGCAUAACAGUGUCUGUAUAGAUCAGAGGUUAGAGUUUGUUAGGAGGUUAGAUGUCACUUUCAUGGUGACGUCAGCUUAGAUGCUCAGUGGUUUGCAAGUGCCUAUAAAUACAACAGUACUCUAUACUGUUCUGUUUAGCUCUUUCACCAUCUUCUUUCUGCAGGAACAAACACUGAGCUCGGGCUGAGGGGGAGUUGGCAUAUCAUACAUGCAUUGUAAUCAGAGUUUAAAAAUAAAUUUAAUCAUUUGAUUCUGUGUUGAAAAUGUAUGAUUGAAAGCAUUUCUUCUGUUUGAUUGUGAAAAGUUUGCUUCCAUUUAAAUUCCGUUGCACUACUCUUUCAUUUGUUCAUCUAAAUUCAAACACAAAUC